This 80-nucleotide small nucleolar RNA is filed under the name Exophiala xenobiotica. RNAcentral's name for it is "A. fumigatus snoRNA Afu_294". It matches the Rfam family "A. fumigatus snoRNA Afu_294". The record is from Rfam by way of RNAcentral. Lineage: Eukaryota; Fungi; Ascomycota; Eurotiomycetes; Chaetothyriales; Herpotrichiellaceae.
ACUUCUGAUGAUCUCAUGUAUUCGCUGUGUUCUUACGGAAUCUUUCAUGUCGAACAUACAUCACCUUGGAGAACUGAUAU